GUAGGUGGCAAGCGUUGUCCGGGAAUUAUUGGGGCGUAAAGCGCGCGCAGGCGGUUCUUUAAGUCUGAUGUGAAAGCCCACGGGCUCAACCGUGGUGGGUCAUUGGAAACUGGAGAACUUGAGUACAGAAGAGGAAAGCGGAAUUCCACGUGUAGCGGUGAAAUGCGUAGAGAUGUGGAGGAACACCAGUGGCGAAGGCGGCUUUCUGGUCUGUAACUGACGCUGAGGCGCGAAAGCGUGGGGAGCAGACAGGAUUAGAUACCCUGGUAGUCCACGCCGUAAACGAUGAGUGCUAAGUGUUAGGGGGUUUCCGCCCCUUAGUGCUGCAGCUAACGCAUUAAGCACUCCGCCUGGGGAGUACGGCCGCAAAGGCUG
RNAcentral lists this ribosomal RNA (375 nucleotides) under uncultured organism. Its description in RNAcentral is "partial 16S ribosomal RNA". It matches the Rfam family "Bacterial small subunit ribosomal RNA", at positions 527 to 896 of the family's 1533-position model. The record is from RNAcentral.